UUCCGGUUGAUCCCGCCGGACCUGACUGCUAUCGGAUUGAUACUAAGCCAUGUGAGUCUUUGCAGUAAUGCAAGGCGGACGGCUCAGUAACACGUAGUCAAUCUAACCUAUGGACAGGGAUAAUCUCGGGAAACUGAGCAUAAUACCUGAUAGAUCAUUAUGCCUGGAACGGUUAAUGGUUGAAAUGAAUUUCGCCAUAGGAUGGGACUGCGGCCUAUCAGCUUGUUGGUGAGGUAAUGGCCCACCAAGGCUAUUACAGGUACGGGCUCUGAGAGGAGAAGCCCGGAGAUGGGUACUGAGACACGGACCCAGGUCCUAUGGGGCGCAGCAGGCGAGAAAACUUUGCAAUGUGCGAAAGCACGACAAGGUUAAUCCGAGUGUUUCCUGCUAAAGGAAUCUUUUGUUAGUCGUAAAACCACUAUUGAAUAAGGGGUGGGCAAGUUCUGGUGUCAGCCGCCGCGGUAAAACCAGCACCUCAAGUGGUCAGGAGGUUUAUUGGGCCUAAAGCAUCCGUAGCCUGAUCUAUAAGUUUCCGGUUAAAUCCAAAUGCUCAACAUUUGGGCUGCCGGAAAAACUGUAGAUCUAGGGAGUGGGAGAGGUAGACGGUACUCGGUAGGAAGGGGUAAAAUCCUUUGAUCUAUUGAUGACCACCAGUGGCGAAGGCGGUCUACCAGAACACGUUCGACGGUGAGGGAUGAAAGCUGGGGGAGCAAACCGGAUUAGAUACCCGGGUAGUCCCAGCUGUAAACGAUGCAGACUCGGUGAUGCAUUGGCUUGUGGCCAGUGCAGUGCCGCAGGGAAGCCGUUAAGUUUGCCGCCUGGGAAGUACGUACGCAAGUAUGAAACUUAAAGGAAUUGGCGGGGGAGCACCACACGGGUGAAGCCUGCGGUUCAAUUGGAUUCAACGCGGGA
RNAcentral lists this ribosomal RNA (912 nucleotides) under uncultured archaeon. RNAcentral describes it as "bacterial SSU rRNA". It matches the Rfam family "Archaeal small subunit ribosomal RNA", at positions 1 to 922 of the family's 1478-position model. The record is from RNAcentral.